RNAcentral lists this ribosomal RNA (254 nucleotides) under uncultured bacterium. RNAcentral's name for it is "partial 16S ribosomal RNA". It matches the Rfam family "Bacterial small subunit ribosomal RNA", at positions 524 to 776 of the family's 1533-position model. The record is from RNAcentral.
UACGAGAGGCCCAAACGUUAUUCGGAAUUACUGGGCUUAAAGAGUUCGUAGGCGGCGCAACAAGUGGGGUGUGAAAGCCCUCGGCUCAACCGAGGAAUUGCGCUCCAAACUGUUGUGCUUGAGGGACCUAGAGGUGAGCGGAACUGAUGGUGGAGCGGUGAAAUGCGUUGAUAUCAUCAGGAACACCGGGAGGCGAAGGCGGCUCACUGGGGGUCUUCUGACGCUGAGGAACGAAAGCCAGGGGAGCGAACGGG